This 43-nucleotide transfer RNA is filed under the name Salix saxatilis. RNAcentral describes it as "partial transfer RNA-Gly". The record is from RNAcentral. RNAcentral also lists the same sequence under 1 other name. Lineage: Eukaryota; Viridiplantae; Streptophyta; Magnoliopsida; Malpighiales; Salicaceae.
GCGGAUAUAGUUGAAUGGUAAAAUUUCUCUUUGCCAAGGAGAA